This 230-nucleotide ribosomal RNA is filed under the name uncultured bacterium. RNAcentral describes it as "partial 16S ribosomal RNA". It matches the Rfam family "Bacterial small subunit ribosomal RNA", at positions 976 to 1210 of the family's 1533-position model. The record is from RNAcentral.
UACCCUUGACAUGCCUGGAAUCCUGCAGAGAUGUGGGAGUGCUCGAAAGAGAACCAGGACACAGGUGCUGCAUGGCCGUCGUCAGCUCGUGUCGUGAGAUGUUGGGUUAAGUCCCGCAACGAGCGCAACCCUUGUCAUUAGUUGCUACGAAAGGGCACUCUAAUGAGACUGCCGGUGACAAACCGGAGGAAGGUGGGGAUGACGUCAGGUCCUCAUGGCCCUUAUGGGUA